UUUAGGUCUUUGGUCCAGUUUGAGUUAAUUUUUGUACACAGGGUGAGGCGAGGCUGCAGCAUCAAUCUUGUGCCUGUGGAGAGGUUGGUGAGCUUUCUCAAGAAGAGGUAACCGUGCUUUCUCGCUGGAGCUUGUCCUGUUUUCGUUUUGCUGUGUUUCUGGCGGGCUGUGGAGCUGGAGACAGAGUGAAUGUUUAAUUGAGGCCAUUUGUUCAAGCUUGGCUUGGCUUUGCAAGUAAACACACUGAGAAACAGACCAGGACAUCUGAACCACUCAAUGAAUCUCAGCUAAAACUAUGGAAAUCCACACGCAGACGGAAAUCUGACAAUGUAGAAGGUGCCUCGUCUGCCACGGUACCUUGGCUCCCAGCGUGCUCAACGGCGACGUGAGAAACGGGCGCGUGUGUGAAUUCUGGCCUGUUGUCACUGUCGGGUCACCCAGUCUCGGCCGUCUCGAGGCUGCCCCCCUGCCCUUCCUGCCUGACCUCUGUCCCCUGGCCAUAUGUCCACAUAGCCAGCAGCACUGCCCAUCCGCCCUGUCCUCUCACCUGUGGUCAGCAUCCGCCAGAGGGGGCUCGGCGCUUGCUGGCCUUGGGAACGGGCUUGCGUGCCCCCACCAGGUGGCCCUGUGAGCCUCUCUCUCCGUCGACUCACAUCAUGCUUCUCCCCAGUCUUCACGUGUGAGGGUGUCUGUGCCCACGUGUGUGGACUUGGUGUACGGCUACUCUCAGCUGUCCUUCCGUCUUCUCUCCCUCCUGGCCAGGCAGCUCGUCAGCUGUGUUGGGGUGUUGGGCCCCCAUUUUCUUCGCUGGGCUGGAAACAUCUUGAGGAUAAGCGCUCUACCUGCCAUCCUCCUUGUCCCCAUCAACUGCUGGUGACACUUGGGGCACACGAAUCCCCAGUGGGACCUGGGACAAGGGUGGGGCUGGGGCGGGGGGCCAGCAUAGACCAUGCACACCCAGGUAGAGCCGAGCCGUGCUCACAUUGGGCACCUGCAUGUUUACUGCCAAGUCAGACGGGACCCACCCACCCGACUCUUGUAAUUCACACGCAAAGAAAGUCUGUGAUCCGGGACAUCAGGAAGAUGACAAAGAUGGGGGAAGAUGGCCUUGUUUAAAAAGGCUGAGAGCCACACGCAGUUCCCUCUCAUCUGUGAUGGACGAGGUACGAGGAGCCAGAAAUCCAGCAGUGGCUUCCCAGUGGGGUGGAGCCACAUCUGGGGGCCGCGGGGCAUGGCCAGCUGUACAGACUCAGUCGGGCCGCACGGGGGGUUCCUCAUUCCCCACCUGGCUCGGUUCAGUCCCACCACACAUGGUGGUGGCCGGGCAUAGGGCACACUGGGGAAGGUGACAGCCGCUUUGCUCACAGCCUCAGGGAACCCAGGUUCUGCCCCAGCUGCCUGGCCCACCGCCCUCUGCCCUCUGCCCUCCCCGCCCACCAGGCUGCUCUUCUGGAAACUUCCAGCAGCUGCAGGGCAUGACCUUGGUUCCCCUAGGGGCCUCAUCGGAUGCACAAGCCAGCACAUUGCAGGUCAGGGCCCAGGGGUCACCGGGCUUGGUGUGCAGACAGGGCGUCCUGCAGAGAGCGUCCGAAGCAGCACUAGGGUUUCUCUUCUGUCUGCCGACAGUCCCAGGAAAACCCCAGAGAGGAAGGGAGCUGUCCCAGCAUGGUCCACGCCCUCUGGGUCCAGCCAAGCCCAGCAGAACCAUAAGGGACUCACAGUCCUCACGUAAUAUAACAUAAGCUGGGAGCACACCGUUAACCUGGGAAGCCUCUGAGAUACUGGGGCUGUUUGUUGCUGCUGCAAACACUGACUAAUACAACAAGCCCAAAGGAAAGAAUAACUAAUGGUAGAAUUCGAGAGGCUAGAUUUAUCUUGAGAGAGGAUACCAAUGUGUCACCUGGCAGAGGCUGUGAAACAGAUGAGGUGCUGAACGAUGGUGGGACAGAGCUCCCAGAGACCCCCUGGGGGUUGGUGGUAAAGAUACACUAGAGGUUAUUCCGAGGAUGGCAGGGCGCCUCAGCUCGGCCGGGAGGAGCCGCCAGGGGGCAAGGCAGGAUAUGGAGAAAUGUUCUCUCGGGCUUCCCUGGGGCGGGAGACUGGCCUCAGGCCUCCAGGAUAAGCCUGGAGGCUGCGGGGUGAGGGGUAAACGUCACCCCGGCUCAGCGGGCUGCUACCUCCUGUGUCUCCAGGUCCCGUCCGGCCCCCAUGCUGCUGCAGGUACCUGAUCGUGUCACCUCCCCAUGAGCCCUUCUGCAGCCCCAUCUGCCCACAGGAUGCAGUUUGGGGCUGAAGCCGCCCAGCAUGUCCAUGUGGCUACCGCUCACCUGGCCCCGUCUCUGGUGCCCCGUCCCCACUGUCCCCACCAGCCCUUCCUCAGCCUGCACGGCCCCUCGCUGUCUUUCCCAGGCCAGUGGUCUCGCCGCACUGUGGUUCCCACGCCCCUAAGCAAAUUCUGAGAAGCCCCGUGGCCCCAGCACACGUUUAAGUGAACAACUGUGGAAGGAAACAAAGACCACCCAAAUCAAAGGCUAUUUAUUCAGUUUGCCAUCACGGCAGGCUCGGCCACCCUCACUGUCCUCACGGGGGCUCACAGGCCGGCACAGGGGGACAGCCUGGUGGGGGAAAAGGAGAUUCAGGUGGGCUCUGGUGGGCCCGGGGCCCAGGGAAGCUGUGGGCGAGGGCUAGGAGUGGGGCGUCCUGUGUGACUGGUUAGGGAGCAUGUCUGGCUCCCCUGCCUGGUCCUGAGUUAGAAGCGGGAACAAAAUGCGGGGAAGCUGGCAGAUAUGGAUGGAGUCCUGGCCACUCGGGGCCAAUUGUUAUGAGGGCUGGACAGUCAUGAGAGACGGCAGACUGGCUUCCCACCAGCGUGACUUCCCCAGCCCGAUUCCUGGAGGCGGGCGGUCAGAGCCCUCGCUGUACUUAUGGUCUGGCCGCCGCACGUGUAAAUUCACUCUUGCAAAUUUCUCAUCAUAAGUUUAAGUAGUUGCAAAGGAUAUAAUUCUGACAUAUUAUAAAAAUCAACAUAAAAAAUAACUGAAGUCAUUCUCUGAAGUGUAUUCAAGUUCUGUAUCCAUUUGACACCCACCAUCACCCGUUUGAAACAUACAGCAGCAACCUCUUCUAUAAUAGAUGGAAAUUUUGUAUCUUCCCUUUUUUCUCUUAAGGUUUCAUUUUCAUUCACGUCAUCCUGAGGAAGUUCCUCCUCACGGAUUUUUAUGUUUGAAGGUCUUUUCCUCACCACCUUCUUACUUUUCUGCAGCAAAACUUCUCUAUCAAUGGAAAACCAAAGUCUCUUUUGUUUGCUGUGACCAUGACAUUUUCAGCGCUAACAGUUCUUUUCUGUAUUGUGGGUGUGACAAUAAUUAAUACAUGUCUGAUGAAGACACCCGACAUGUUAUCGUUAGAUAGGUCGUUCCUGCACGUGAGCGUCUGAUUGUCUGGGGAAGCGUCUCCUGACCCGGUGGGCGGGUGAGGCCGUUUCUCUCACCGGGCCGGCCGGUCGUGAUUCCGAGGACGAGCUUUCUGGUUGCUAGAAGGACGCAGAGCUCAGCGUCGAUUCUGCUCCUGUCUUUCGUUUUACGCACGAGGAGGGAAGGGCUUUGUAGCAGUGAAAAAUUGAAAACUUAAAUGUCUGAAUUCUUUCCUAGAUAAGUGCCCAAAGUCACAGGACAGGCGAUCGAGGCUCUGCCGGGUGCCACCCGGGUCAGGCCCUGCUUCCUUGUUGGUGCCCCGGGGACCUCCUGACUGACAGAAGGACCCUUCAGUGGCCGCGGACCUCCCUGUCUUCUUAAUUCCUGGGAAGCUGACCACAAGGCUUUACCGCGACUCUGGGGUGGCCACUGGUUUUUCCAGAUCACUCUUGCAUUUAGAGGCCACCAGUGUAACCUCCUCUUCACAAAAGGAACGUGGAUCUGCAGCUGUGGUGUGCCCCAUGAGAGCAGAACUCCCGCCAGGCAGCCGUCUCUCCCGUCACACCGGUCAACCAAGCACACGUUCUGUCAAACAGCCGGGUUCCGUUGCUCGGUUCCUGGACACGUGCUAAUACGAUCUCAAAAGAAGCUGACGGAAGCCGUGGUGUAAACGCGGAUCCUGUGCCGUAGGAGACCCCAGCCGCUGCCGAGAUGGAAACCAGGGAGAUCCUGUGUGGGACGCCUGCCUUCGAGACAAACUGGCAGCGCCGGCUCAGGCCACACGCCCUGUGCCCGCGCUCGGCUGUCGGCAGUGCGCUGCGUGCGGAGCUAAAAGGGCGAGCUCUUUGUGAGAGCAGGGAGCGGUGGAAGGCCCGUGUUCCCUGGUGAGUGUGAGUGUGUGGAUACAUGCGUGUGAGCGUGUGUGAGUGCAUGCACGAAUGAGUGUGUGUUUGUGUGUGCGUGUUGUGAGUGAACUGACCUCCGGAGUUCAGCCUUGGGGAAUUGUUAAAUAAGAAGCAAGUAUGGAUCAGGUACAACAUGGCGGAGUCCAUUCACCACUAAGGUCAAACUUCCCUGUGUAUUGAGUGAAUAGAAAGGACUUUGCUGGUCCGGAACCCGGGGCGAGAGGGAGGGCAGGUUCGUUUUGCUGGCAGGGUGUAGAAAACAUGACUCUGUCCAGGACGGCUUGAAGAGGUGGCCAUGCAGGAGAUGUCGCCCCGCACCUGCGGGCAGCAGAGCCUCUGGCCAGCUGGGCCGUCGCGCUUUUCCUCCUGGCCUGAGCCACACCCUUGGAGGGGCGCCGGGAACAGCUGAGAAGGUGCCCCCUCUGCGUGUGCAGUUAGUGUGUGUGCUGCCCUCUCUUUGCCGUGACUCGGGCUCCCCCGGGGUCUGGCUCCCUGGCCCAGAGCAUCCUGGGCCCUCCCACCACCUCCCUCGGCACCUCGGGAGCUCAGACCACGCGUGGUCCACAGCCAGGUUCGCUCUUAGUGGGCACGCAUGCAGGCCGGCCAGAGACGCUGGGGACAGGGGCAGGGACCACUCUAGUCUUCUCCAGAAUGUGAAAGUUGGAGCUCUGGCACCUGGUUCCUACCUGUGCCCCUGGGAAAGUGUUCUGUACUUCUGUGCCCUCAGAUGAAAGGCCGCUGGCCCAGAGAGCCCCCCUCUCCUGCCCCUUGUCCCCCCGGGUUCUCCUGGCCGGUGGUUCAGCCUCCUCCACCGCAUGAUCACCUGUGUCACAGGGCAUUAGGUGUGGAUGCAUCUCCUGUACCCACUGCCUGCGUCCCGCAUCCCAGCACAGGGAACCUGGCGUGGUGCUGCUUCUCUUCCUCCCCUCCUCCUUAGAGGUGUUAUUAAAUAACAACUGCGCUUACUCGUAAAACGAAAACACAACCACAAAGGAAUCUGUAGGGCUUACAGAGAAAAGACGCUCCCGUUGCCCCCGCCUCCCGCUCCGGCGCCGGCCCACUGAGAUGCCACCUCCAGCUCCUUUGGCUGUUGUUUCCAGGGUCCCCUCUGCUAGUCUUUGUGUUUUUUUCAUCUUCAAAUACUUUUCUGUUUAACUGGAGAGGUUUGCUGCAAACUCGCACAAAAUCUGGUUGUAAUAGGCUGAGUAACAGCCCGCAGAGGUGUCCACACCCUGAUCCCUGGGACCUGGGACUGUGUUACCUUACAGGGUAAAAGGGACGUGGCCGACGGGACUGAACUAAGGAUCUGGAUGGGGGGAUGAUCCUGGAUCGUCUGGGGGGCCCAGGGUCAUCAUUAUAAGAAGGAGGAGGGAGAGUCAGAGCCAGAGAGACAAGACGUGAUGAUGGAGGCAGAGGCCAGAGAUGGUACGCUGCUGGCUUUGAGGAUGGAGGGAGAGGCAUGAGCCAAGGAACAUGGUGCCUCUGGAGACUGGAAAAGGCAGGAAACAGAUCCUCCAGGAGGAAGGCAGCCUGCUGACCCCUCAUUUAGGCCACUGACAUUGACGCCGGACGGACGUCUGACCUCCAGAACUGGGUGAUGGUUGGGACCUUUGUGCUGUUUUAAGCCACUACAUUUUGAUAAUAUAUUAGAGCAACAGUAGAAACUAAUGCACUGUCAUCAAAAUUUCCAUGAAACACACUUAAGCAGUGUGAGAACGAAGAUAUUUGUGUAUUACAUUUAAGAAAAGCCAAAUAGAAAGAAUGAUUUAAGUAGUAUCCUAAUAAACAGCUGCAAAUACAUCUUAACAAAUGGAGAGGCCUCCAUCCAGAAACUUGACGCUGAUAUUUAUGUUGCCACUUAAAAGAGUAAGAUGAUCUAUCUCCAUUUUAGUUGCAUUGUUAGGGAUGUUUCAACAUUGUGUUCUUGCUGGCAGCUGCAGCAUAAACACAUCUAUCCACGCCCUCGCAGCUGGACUCUGAGUGUCCAAGAAAAAUGGGCUCCUGCUGGCUUCUGGUGUGGCGGAACGGUCACUCCAGAAACACUUGGAGACUGCGCGACGUGGGCAGCAUGGGUGGGGGGCGAGGAGAACUGAAGGAGGAGAAGCCCCCCCUUUCCUUCCUGUCUGCCUUCAUGUGGUUGGGGUUGGGGGAGUCCCCAGAAAAUGAAACCAACAUGAUGCAGGAUGCUCUGCACCCCGAGUCAGGACCAUGAGGAGGCUUGGGGAGCCCUGACCCCUGGAAGAGGCGCCCAGAUCUGUAACAUUCUCAUCCUCUCUAAACCUGCAGAGGUGCUCCCCAAGGUGGGCGGGCGUCCUGCUCACACGGGGAGCGACUCCGUCAGCAGCACCAGGAGCCGAGGGUGUUCAUGCCAUGGAGCGAAGUCAACCCAAGUUCCACUGAUGGCUUUUUUUUUCUUGUAGAAUGUGAAAUUCCCUUGGAAUGCUGUUUUUUGUGGUGAGAUUGGGUUUAAUUGUUACCAUUCCUCCUGCUUCUUACAAGAAAAACAAAAUUAAUCCAUGGUAGCCUAGAAAAUAAAUAUGAAAAUUUCACACAGACUGUUGAGAAAGAAAACGUCCCCAGACUAGGCCUGGGGCAGAACGUUACUUCUCGUGCCGUCCUUUAGACGCCCUUCUAGAGAGAGCCCAGCUCCUGACAAAAUGCACAUUUUGUAUGAAUUUUGAUGAGAAAUGAGAUUCUCCGCAACCGGGAGACCGUCCGUCCGCCCGCCCUGGAGCCCAAGGCCGCUCAGCCUGGUGGGAGGCCUCUGUUUACUUGUUUCAUUUUAAUUUAGUCUGACAGUGGUCGUGUAACCAUCCUUUGUUCUUUUCUGUGAAAUGUGUCUGCCAAGAAGAACCCGCGAACCGGCUUUCGUGAAAUGGACGCUCUUGCUGGCCGAAUGAAUAGAAAUGCGUGAAACGGACGCUCUUGCUGGCCAAAUAGAAAUGAAACUUUGCGGCGGGCUCCUGAUCCAUUCAUCGGAGAAGCAGCAUAAACACCUUAUUUCGGUCUGAGAUAGUCAAUGUCAUUUUUUUUUAUGGUGUGACAUUUUUAUUUUUAUUUUUUUCCCCAGCUUUAUUGAGAUACAAUUGACACAGGCAUUGUAUGAGUUUAAGGUGUACACCGUGUUGAUUCGAGACAUUUAUUUAUUCUAAAAUGAUCCCCCCCAUCGUGUUAGCUCACACUCCAUGACGUCACAUGAUUGGCAUUUCUUUCUUGUGAUGAGAACAUUAAGGGUCUACUCUCUUAGGCACUUUCAAGAACACAAUAGGGCAUUGUUAACUAUAGUCGCCGCGCUGUACGUUAUAGCCCAGAACUUACUCAUCUUAUAACUGGAAGUUUGUACAUUUGGACCAACGUCUCCCCAUUUCCCCUACCCACCAGCCCCUGGUAACCCCUUGGUGUCAUUUUAUAAAAGAUUUGGACAGGGGCCAGCCUGGUGGCACAGGUGUCAAGUCCACGCACUCCACUUCAGUGGCCUGAGGUUCAUGGGUUCGGAUCCCGGGUGUGGACCUACACACCAUUCCUCUAGCCAUGCUGUAGAAGGCGUCCCACAUAUAAAGUAGAGGAAGAUGGUCACAGAUGUUACCGCAGGGCCAGUCUUCCUCAGCAAAAAGAGGAGGAUUGGCAGCAGAUGUUAGCUCGGGGCUGAUCUUCCUCAAAUAAUCAGUAACUAAAUAAAUAAAAGGAUGCACAGCUGGGGACUCUGCUGACCAUGCACUAAGGCACCCCUCUGACGCGUUAGGGGGCUACACAGGGCCUGGAGGAGGCGUGGGCCCUCUGAGGACACACUGUUGGGAGUGCAUGAGGGCAUCACCCCCAACCACGGCACAGGGAACAUGCCACCUGGGUGAUACCAUUUUUAGACCUUAUUUACUGACUUCUUGUUAUGAAUGGGUAGAUUUUAGCUCUUUUACAGCCUAAUUUCUCCUCUUCACCUUCUCAAUAUCGUGAGUUUUAAUCAACAAACAGUGUUUAUGGUAUUUUGAUGGAAUAAAUGCAGCCUAGAGCAAAGCCAGUGGUGUACUUUGAGUAGUUUCUUUUCUCAUAGUGCUUUACAUUUUUCCUGGCCUUUCUACGCGCCUCUCUUUUUUUUUCUUACACUAUUUUAAUCAUAUCCUCGUUUUUUCCCACUUUCCAUCGUGUCAAGUGUAUUAGUUUCCUGUGGCUGCUGUAACAAGGUAACACAAACUACAUGGCUUAAAAUGACAGAAAUUUAUUCUCUCCCAGUCUGGAGGCCAGAGUCUGAAAUGAAUAUGUCGACAGGGCUGUGCUCUCCUGAGGCUCAAGGGGAGGGUCUUUCCUUGCCUCUUCCAGCUUCUGACCAUUGCCGACUCUCUUGGGAGUUCCUUGGCCUGUAGCCACAUUUCCCCAACCUCUGCCUCUGUCAUCACACCGUGUUCUCUCUGUGUCUAUCUGUCUCUUCUUACAAGGGCACAGCCCUGUUGGGUUAGAGCUCACCCCGACCAUAACGCCUCACCUUAAUUUGAUACCAUCCGCGAAGACUCUAUUCCAAACAAAGCCACAUUCACAGGGACGGGGGCUAAGACUUGGACAUAGCUUUUUUGCGGGCACAAUGCAACCCAUAACAUCAGGCACCCUAUCGUUUUCCCCAGGGAUUUCCUUUCCAGAGCCCUCCAUACUCUGGCUCCAGUGUGGACCGGCUGCCCUCUAGGCCUGCUGGAAGCAAGUUACCUUGGAUUUCCUGUCACUGUCCCCAUGAGCUGGAGAGACUGCUUCAGGGACCCACGUCUUCUUCUUUCUUGGUUUAUCUCCUCAUUUUCCUGAAGCACGUCCUCAAGGAGCGUCCCAAGAAAAGGCGUGUGGGCAGGACCUCUUCUGAGUCUUUCCAAGCCUAAAAACAUCUUUCUCCACCCUCACACCUGAUGGGCAGUUUGGUCAGCGAUAAAUUCUCGGCAGAAAUAACUUCUGCCAGCGUCUGGAGGCCCCGCUCUGCUGCCCUCCAGCAUCUCGAGCUGCUGAUGGGAAGUCAGCUGACAGUUUCGUUCUCGCUCCUCUGUGGGUGACAUGUAUUUUGUUUCUCAAAAAUCUCUUAGGAUCUCCUUUUUAAUCCUCGAUGCUCUGAAAUUCACAGUGAUGCAUCUAGUGGGGUUAUUAUUAUUACCGUUCAUUUUUCUGGAGAAAUUCUCCUCUGCUAUACCUUUGAUAACUUCCUCCCUCCGUUUUUCUCAUGCU
Equus asinus (donkey) is the source of this 9511-nucleotide long non-coding RNA. The record is from Ensembl. Lineage: Eukaryota; Metazoa; Chordata; Mammalia; Perissodactyla; Equidae.